GUGUGAUGUGUGAUCCACUGCCCUGUGUAGAGAGGUGAUUCUCACCCUGUGGUGUGAUGUGUGAUCCCCUGCCCUGUGUAGAGAGGUGAUUCUCACCCUGUGGUGUGAUGUGUGAUCCCCUGCCCUGUGUAGAGAGGUGAUUCUCACCCUGUGGUGUGAUGUGUGAUCCCCUGCCCUGUGUAGAGAGGUGAUUCUCACCCUGUGGUGUGAUGUGUGAUCCCCUGCCCUGUGUAGAGAGGUGAUUCUCACCCUGUGGUGUGAUGUGUGAUCCACUGCCCUGUGUAGAGAGGUGAUUCUCACCCUGUGGUGUGAUGUGUGAUCCCCUGCCCUGUGUAGAGAGGUGAUUCUCACCCUGUGGUGUGAUGUGUGAUCCCCUGCCCUGUGUAGAGAGGUGAUUCUCACCCUGUGGUGUGAUGUGUGAUCCACUGCCCUGUGUAGAGAGGUGAUUCUCACCCUGUGGUGUGAUGUGUGAUCCCCUGCCCUGUGUAGAGAGGUGAUUCUCACCCUGUGGUGUGAUGUGUGAUCCCCUGCCCUGUGUAGAGAGGUGAUUCUCACCCUGUGGUGUGAUGUGUGAUCCACUGCCCUGUGUAGAGAGGUGAUUCUCACCCUGUGGUGUGAUGUGUGAUCCCCUGCCCUGUGUAGAGAGGUGAUUCUCACCCUGUGGUGUGAUGUGUGAUCCCCUGCCCUGUGUAGAGAGGUGAUUCUCCAGCUCCUCUAUCUGCUGUCUGUACUGCUGCAGCUGGACCUCAAACUGAUCCACUAAACACCGGAAAUAACUAGAGAGAAAGA
Long non-coding RNA from Oncorhynchus keta (chum salmon), 789 nucleotides. RefSeq lists it as uncharacterized. The record is from RefSeq and is a predicted model, not a curated record. Lineage: Eukaryota; Metazoa; Chordata; Actinopteri; Salmoniformes; Salmonidae. The transcript is spliced from 7 exons.